This is an RNA transcript of Myiozetetes cayanensis, 6820 nucleotides long. It is a transcript of the gene named APC membrane recruitment protein 3, with no coding region annotated. The transcript is spliced from 4 exons. NCBI's taxonomy places the organism in Eukaryota, Metazoa, Chordata, Aves, Passeriformes, Tyrannidae. The record is from RefSeq and is a predicted model, not a curated record.
GGAGAGUAACACUGGAGAGCAGCAGUGGUCCAGCCCCUCAGAAUCUGAAAAGCAUCACAGGAGCCUCUGGAUAAAGACCAGCCUCAGUAGCAAGGCUAGGAGACAGAGGAUUUCUGCUCAGUGAUAAAACAUGAAACAGAUGUGAGGAAGCAGCAUGGAGCUCAAGAGAGGAAAGACCUUCAUAAAAUCCAGUGUGCAACAUGAGAAAGCACCACCAGUGCAUACAGCUCCUACCAACAAAGAUGAGAAGGGCAAAGAUAAAAAGGCAGCUCUGGAGGGAAACCAAAGUAUGGCUGAAGUCCAGUUGGCGUGUUUGGCCACACACAAGAACUACAGAUUUUCUACCAGAGCAACAAAGAAUGGAGCUGGUGACCACAGCCUGGAAAAAUCAUCUGGGUCCUCCUACAAACUUGUAAGGAAGAGUAAAACCCACGAGUGUGUUGCUGAGGCAGACAAAGCAGAGCACCGCAGCCCCAGCAGCAGGGCCUGUGAGGAGGGGUUUUCCGGAAAGCCUAAGGGCCGACUUGUCAACAGCAUCAGCUUUUCAGGGGUGUCCAGCUCCAGCAGUAAGAAGGAGUGUGUGGUCAGCCCCAGCCAGUCUGCUUGCAGCAGUCAGAUGAUUGAUUACAGGAACUUUGUGCCACAGAUGCCUUUUGUACCAGCUGUCGCAAAAACCAUUCCCAGGAAGAGGAUUUCCCUCAAGAGAUCUAAGAAAGGGCUCAGAGAUAUAUUUCACAUAAGAAAAAAUAAGCCAGACAGCCUCACAUUUCUGGUUGAGAAGGACAAGAACUUGUCCUCUCCAGGUUGCAAGAGUGAGUUGUCUGGGCGCCUUGCAAAGUAUCUGUUCAAAACCGGAGAAACAUUUGCAGCUGAUUGUUUGUCACAGGACUGCUCAGACAGUGAACUGCAGUCUGACUCCUCCUACGACUGCUGCACUGCCCUGUGUGAAGAUGUUGCCUCCCUGAAGAGCUUUGACUCCCUCACUGGGUGUGGGGAAAUCUUUGCUGAUGAGAGUUCUGCUCACCUGGAGCUGGAGAACAGCAAAGACCUUCUGCUGAGGCGAAGCAAGCACAAAGACAGCCCUGCCAUGGGCUCUUUCCAAGGCGGGGUGGAGCAGCUGGCCUCUCCUGGCCAGAAUGAGACUGUGGAAUUCGCAAAGUUUUGGGACAACAUCAACAAAUCAGUAAGGCUACAUCAGAGUGCUCUGUUUGAGAAGAAGCUGCUGAAGGUACCUGGUUCUGACACAGAAAAGAUUAAAAGUCAGGCUGCCAUAUCGGUGACAAGCCCCCAAGUGUCACCUGAUAAAGAAGGAGACAAUUCCAAAGACAGCUCCACAGAAACAGAAACACCGAAAAGUGAAAACCAGGAAUCCACAUCCACAAGUGAUGAAGGCUACUAUGAUUCAUUCUCUCCUGGACAAGAUGAUGAACUGAAGGAAGCUCAGACCCCUGGUGUCCCAGGUAGAUUUCCAAGAGACAGCUACAGUGGAGAUGCCCUUUAUGAGCUCUUCUAUGACCCAAAUGAAGUCAAAAUAAACCCAGUCCUUGACGAUGACUUGUGCGCAUCUGAAACAGUUUCAGAGCAAGCCAUUGAGAUCCCUCUGUCCAUUUACAGCUUUCACGUAGGAGCUGAGGAGAACAUGGCUUCCCAACCAACUCUAGACAUUAUCAGCCAGGGGUUUUUCCACAGCUCAUGGAAAGGCAAGGAAUGUUUGCUAAAGCUCUGUGAUACUGAGCUCUCGUUGACUAUGGGGAUAAUAAACUGGCUGCGAAAACACUCAGGACUCGUUUCCUCCCCGGACUCUCUUCAGAGUCCUCAGUCACAGCCAGAAAAGUCCAAUGAUUCAUCAAUCCUGCCCAGUCCCAGUCCAGAGCAGGAACUGAGCACAGAAGCUCAGCAGGAAAAACCAAGGAAGGAAGAUUCUAAUGCAUUUCCUGUAUGCCUAUCUUUGGAUGAAAGCAAAUACACAACCCAGGCCUCUUCAGCAAACGUCGCUGAAAGAGACUACAGCCUGGGCUCCUGCCCAAACACAUCUAAUCUGGAUUUCCAAGGAAGAGAAGGGAGUCACCAUGAGGAUUUAUCUACAGUGCCUGGGAUUGUGGAAACCACCACAUCAUCAAGUUGUGCACCACAAUCACAGGCUAAUGGGGACAACCUGCAGACAUCUUCAACUGACAAUGAGAGGAUGGCAAUUUCAUUGGGAUGUGAGACAUCUGGAGAUAAAAACCCGCUGCCAGAAAAGCUGAGCAGGGAGAGUGGCUCCCAGAGCUCUGAAAAUCCUUUGUUAGAUGAUAAUCACGAAGUAGAAUCAUGUUACUCCUACAAGACUGCUGUGACCUCACUCCUAGAUCCCCUUGAGAGGGAGGACAGAAACAAGCCAAUGUAUCACUCUUUCUCUGUUUCCUGUGACAAACCACAGCAGCCUCUCACCCUCAGACACUUCCAGGGCUACAUUAGCCCCACACCAACAGAGAGUAGCACUAACAUAGUGCAGCUCUUAGAGCACUGCGUAACACAGGUGGCAUCAUUAAAAAUCAGCUAUGAAAACAAGCACCUGGAGGACAAACACAUCGGGAAUGAAAUGAACAAUAUCAUUCAUAAGAUGUCUCGGUACAAAAACAAGUUAUUGUUGCAAAACGAAUGCAGCUGCAGUGCUCAAAAUCCAGAAUACACCAGUAUUCCUAGCACAAAUCAGUAUAACUAUGAGACAAGUUUCCAAUCCAGUGGUCUGUAUUUGAAGCAAAAUGGGGAGCAAAUUAGCUCUGAAGAUCAGAAAAGUAAAGCAAAAAUCCUUGAUGAGGUCAGCAGAAGAAAGAUAAAUUUUGAAUAUGCCCAGCUAGAUAAUCAAGCCCUCUCCUAUUUAAAGGACUUUGGUCUCAGCCCAAGUGACUCUUCCCCUGCAACAUCUCUCAGCAGACCAACGUUUUUACCCCUCUUUAACUCUGUCUGCUCAGACAUACCUGCCACGUUCUCAGGCAGCACUGCUGUCUCUGUAGCUGACUCGCUGCAGCACAAGGAGGCCAAGCAGUGCAGCCCAGGGCUCUGGGCUUACACAGAGACCCCCUGCCAGGGCCUGGCUGGAGGGAGUGCUCUGUCCCCUCUCCUAGAGGCAGCGGCCCCGGAUACAGCAGUGACAGCGAGGAGCCACCAGUAGCACACCCGCGUGGAGAAGGAAAUCUGCAGAUGGAAUGACUGAGUUGCUGCCUAGGAAAUUCUAAAAUGUCAGAUAUUCUGCAAAAGAACUGGAUUUAGUAAGGAUGACGACCUCAGAAGUGACAGUCUGCAGAGCCCUCCUGCUCCGCCGGACACCCUGUCAGGACCCGAAAAUCUCGCUACCAGACCUGACUCUCAGCUCGCUGCAAUCCUCCCUUCUCCAGCCGCCGCUCCUGCUGCUCUGCUGCGCCUCCCCGUGCUCUCCGGCACACGCUGCUGCACCAAACGAGCCACCCGCACAAGGAAAACAGCACCAAAGGCCUGCCCUGGAACCUCCCGAGGCCAGCCCGAUGUACGCGGCAGCCCAUGCCCAGUGACACGGCUGUGAACAGGACAUGGGAAUACUGGAAUGCCGUACUGUCCAAAUCCUUUCUGGAUCCUUGUGAGGGCCGACAUGCUCACAGGUGUUUUCAGAUUUUCAGUGGUUACAGGCACAGUUUAGGGUUCCUAGCACUUCAGAUCAUCAGGUGCGACACUGAAGAAUCCGUUUGUAGAUAUGGAUGUCCCCCCAACACGUAGUACAGCAUGAGACAGUUCCAGGAUGCUAUACCAAGACCAGAAUCAACAAGGAUUUCUCUCUAGAGAUCCCAACAGAGGUGUUGCAGCAACAAAUCAUGCUGGUCUGUCUAACUGACUAACAGGAGUUCCUGACAGCCAUGCACACCCCUGAAGCCAUGCUUGCAGAUGGCUGGUUAACUGAUACUCUUUUUUAAAAACACAACCAACUUCAGCAGGAUUUUGUAAAAGGCAUGACAAGGUUUAUGAGGAAAAGGUGGCAUAUUUCGGUCGCAUUGUGCCACACAACUGAAAAUACCACUAUUUUUUUAAAACAGGGGUACAUGCAGAAUGAGCUUUCACUUGGGAAGUUGUUAUGAGGAGGCAAAAUUGUUUUUCAGUGUACUAUUUUUUCUUUAAUUUUAGAGAAAAGCUCUAUGUAUUUUAUGACAACUGUUUAACCAUCUCAAAGCAACGAGGUUCUAAACUGCAGAUUAUAUUGGUGUGGCAAGACUUACUGCCUGAGGAAAGGUAUUUUUUAAACAAACAAAAAUAUCAGGAAGCAGAAUAUGCCCUAUAUUGUCCAAAGACAUGUAUUUAUCAUAGCAGAAAUUGUGAAUAGAAUAACAAGUUAUACUUGCAAAUCACAAUCAAAAAGAUAACUUCUUUGAUUCUGUUUUAAAUGAGAGAAAACCUGUUAUUUAUGUCCAUGAUAACAGCUGCACUCAAUCUUAUACAAAGUCUUCUUCUUUUAAUUUAAAAAUCAGUCUCAAAGGACUGGACAAGAUACAUUGUUAACUCAGUUUUCAGUUUUUUGUGGCACCCUUGGAGUCAGUUUAACAGAACAGUCGUUGUUUUCAUACCCCAGUUUGAAUCUGGUCUUGGCUGUCUCUUACUCUGAGAAGAAGUUGAAAAAAACCAACAACUGUGCUUUGUAAAUGGAAUGUGGCCAUGGCAUGUUUGAAGAGAUCUUAAUAACCUCCACAUCCAGUCUCCUGCCUCAGACAGGAUUUAAGGGCAGUAUCUUUGCCCUGAGGUUUGCUGUCAUGGGGAAAUGUGGAAGAAGGACCUAUGAGACUGGGACUGCAGCAAGGGAAAACCAGAUUAGAUUAAACACCUGAAUUUUGAUGUCUAAAGUUAAGAUCACUUCUACCUUCAAUCAUUUAUAAUGUAAAGAAUACAUAAUCACAGUAUUUAAGAGAUGCCUGGAUCUGGAAGAAUUUGCAUUUAAAAAUGCAUAAUGCUCCAAGACUGGUGCUUUAAAAUGAAACCACAUCCCCUAGACAGGGAACUUUCUCAGCAUUACUCUACACUUAACAAGAGGAGAGCUUCUCUCUAACACUCCAGGACUGCCAAUACAAACCAACUUUUCAGAAUGCAGUCAAUUUACCACGAGUAUCUCCUGAAAAUAUAAAUGAUGGGUAUUUAAGACCCUCUUCCAUGGCACAAAACUACAUCUCUGAAGACUGCUCAGAAUUUGCCAUUUAACCUUUAAAAGCCUAAAAUGUCGAGCAGUUCAUCAUGUAGUCAUUCUUUCCAGAAAUACUAAAUGACGUAUUAAAUUUGGGCUAAUAAAAUGAUAACAAACAUUGGGCUUAAAAUUCCAGCCCAGAGCCUCGAGGGAGCAGAGGCAGAAUUUCCCAUCCUUGUAGCAUCCUGCACAUCUCUUCCCUAGAUUUCAGGUUGAGUAACCAACAUCACAGAGGAAAAGAAAGGCAACAGAAAGAGAAAAGUGAUUUUGUGGCCACAAAGGAGACAAAUCUCCUCUCUACCCUUCACACUGGGAGGAGCCAACAGCUUCCCACUGCAGGACUUCUGCUGCUGCCCUCACUGACCCUAAAGCUGGGCUCUGAAUCCAGACAGGAUGAGCACAGACAUGGAAGAUGGGCUUUUACUCCUCUUGUGCAGGGCCAGCAUUCACACACAGCCUGUCAUGUCCCUCUGCAUGGCACCCCUUCCCUCGAGCACGGGAACCACCCCACACAGCUGGGUGCCCUCAACCCCACGGUAUAUGGCACUGACAAAGCUGUUAAACAGCACUGGUCCCAAAUCCAACUCCUGAGGAACAUCAUUAGGCAAAAAUUUUUUUUUCCUCAUCUCCUUGUUCACUAAAAUGUACAGAAAUGUUCUGGAAAAAUCAUUAAAAAAAAUAUUCUCCUGAAGACCUCCAUUCUUUAUAUUCCUUCUGUUAAUGCAGAGUUCACUGGAGUUUCAGAGGUAUUUUUGGAACUCCCAGCACAAAGAUCAGGUACCUGAGUACUCUUCACAAACCCCCACUUACUGCUAUGAAAGAGAGAUCAUUCACCACUUUAUAAAAAUUGAGUGCACAUAAUCUCAUACUAGUAAAAAUGUCUGAAAAAAAUAGAGAGAGAAAUAUCAGACCCACAUGAACUGUCAGGUAAGUGUUCCUUCCAAAAGCAAAGUAUUAAAAUGGCAUUCUUGUAUUCCAAUCAAAUGUCAGUGAUGUGAACUAACAAGUCCUACAGUAAUACUUUUUUUCACUCACAAUAUUUCAUUGUUCUAAAUAAGCUGGAGCAUUUGGUGGCAGGAUGUUCUACAUGCUUACACUUUACAGCACAUGCAUAGGACACACAGUAAAGUUGCAGGUAAAAUCAGGGAUAUUUAAGAGAGAACAACGUUACGUAUUCUGACUUCUACUUAAUGAAAAAGAUAAAACUCCUGGCUGAACAAUGUACAUGCAUGGUACAUAUAAAUAUAUAUAUAUACAUAUGCAUAAUGAAUGUGUAUACACACCUAAAAAGAGGAUUUGUGCAAACUUGUUAAGUUUAAGAAUAGGGAAGAAAUCUGAUGCAGGUACCUUUUAAAAUCUGAGUAGCAGAUUAAUAAAAUUUCAGUACAUACAUGGUUUAUUAUGUAACUAAGAUACAUGCAUUUAUAUGCUGUUUAACAUAUUUUGUUAACUAUUUUUCAUAUAUGUCAUAUCUGAUGUACAUAUGCUUUAUGUAUUAUAUUUUAGUUACCAUAUUCUACAUUACAUAUUAAAGUCACUUGGAUUGAAUGUCAUGUUUGGUCUCUAGUCAACAUCACUUUAUUGCUAUGUAUGACGUUGAGCAAAUUUACUAUUUUCCAGCACUGUAAACUCAUUGUUCAG